CAGCUUCAGGCUCCCCAUGGGAGAGCACAUUUCAGCGAGUAGCCUACGAAGACCUGCUUCAAGCAACCAACGGGUUCUCCGCUGCCAAUUUAAUUGGUUCAGGUAGUUUUGGAUCUGUGUAUAAAGGAAUCCUCAAGACAGAUGGAGCAGCUGUUGCAACUGUUGCAGUGAAAGUAUUCAACCUGCUACGUGAAGGAGCUUCCAAGAGUUUCAUGGCGGAAUGUGCAGCCUUGGUAAACAUCAGGCACCGAAAUCUUGUAAAAGUUUUAACAGCAUGUUCUGGCAUUGAUUUUCAAGGUAAUGAUUUUAAAGCUCUAGUUUAUGAGUUCAUGGUGAACGGGAGUCUAGAAGAGUGGUUGCAUCCUGUUCGAAUAUCUGACGAGGCACACAGGCGAAGAGAUUUGAGUCUCCUUCAGCGCUUGAACAUCGCAAUUGACGUGGCUAGUGCACUUGAUUAUUUGCACAACCAUUGCCAGAUUGCCGUUGUUCAUUGCGAUCUGAAGCCAAGCAAUGUCCUUCUGGAUGGUGAUCUGACUGCUCAUGUUGGUGACUUUGGAUUAGCAAGGCUCCUCACACAAGCUUCCCAUCAGCCCGGUUUGGAUCAGACAAGCUCCAUUGGUUUAAAAGGCACCAUUGGCUAUGCAGCCCCAGGUCACAAUAGAAUAAAUCCUUCCUUCCUCUAUUUACUCGUUCUGAUUUUAUUUCCGUUUACAAUCUUGGUCUGACUCCAAGGAAUUGAUUUUAGCAUCCCUAGGUAACAUACAGGAAUUUCCCAUUAUUAAUUUCAAAUUUAAUCUUCUUUUGCAUAUUCUUUGUUUUUCAUUAUGGGAAGAACUUUAGCAUCUUGAUCAAUGAAGAAACAAGGUAGCUGUAUAAUGAAAUACAUGUGCAAUAUCUUUGGCAGUCUCAGCUUCCUAAUGCCAAGCUAGUAAAACACCACAGCACUGCCAUAUUUUGUAUUGAUUUACAGCAGAUGAUGAAUUCUGAAUUUUAGAAUAUCUUACUCGUUUGUUUGCUAAUAUCCUAGUCUCUAAACCCAAAAACUACGGGAUUAAUUAUAACCCUUGUACAUGACCGCAGAGUAUGGCAUGGGAAGCGAGGUAUCGACUUUCGGGGAUGUGUACAGCUAUGGAAUCUUGUUGCUGGAGAUGUUUACAGGAAAGAGACCUACAGAUACCAUGUUUAAAGAUGAGAUGAAUCUUCACAACUUCGCUAAGAUGGCUUCGCCGAAUCGCGUGACAGAGAUAUUGGACCCAGCACUUGUGAGAGAAGCUGAGGAAACAAGUGCUGAUCACGCCUCUACCUCAAGUGCAAGAAACCAUAACGGGACUGAGAAAAUCAUGGAGUGUUUGGUUUUAAUUAUUAAGGUAGGAGUUGCUUGCGCUGUAGAAUCACCGAGAGAGAGGAUAGAUAUUAGCAAUGUUGCAACUGAAUUGUAUCGGAUUAGGAAGAUUCUUAUUGGAACUGGGAGGCAUGGACGCCUCACUUCGUGAAAUUAUUGUUGCAUCUGAAGGUAAUUAACGUUCUUUCAUCCAAUUAUUUUGUGCUUUCGUUCUGCGUUAUUUUCUAUAGAUAAAUUUUCACUGUCAAACACUACCUCAAAUAAAUUUAAUUCAUAGAUAAAAUGUGUCGUCUCUUCUCUUGAAGUGAGGAUUUGUAAUUUGUGAUGCAAUGAUUUGAAAUAAAUAUAAUUUCCUUUUCCUUUGAAUUUUCUUGUUUUCCAUUAUUUUACUAGCAAGUCGUGUGCUUCAAGAGUUGAUUCUUUUAAUCCUUCACCUAUUCUUAGUAUCUCUUGUUGUUCUUUGGAAACUAAAUGCAUCUUGUUGCCUCUCAACAGCCAACAACGGACAAUUUACAUUAGGAAUCCGUAUUUAGGAGAAACUACAAAUGAGUCCCUCAACUAUAUACGUUAUUUCAAUUAAAUCUUUGAACUUCAAACCAAAUAUCCAGCUUAGAUAAGUGAUACUGUCAUUAAAGCGUCCAAAGCACAAACUAUGAUCCAGUAGUUUAGCUUUCAAAGCUGUAAAGCUUCGAUCCCAAAAAAUAUUUGCACGCAAAACAGUGGCAGCGAUCAGCAGUUCGUGAGAAGAAACAGCCAAUGGGUGAAAAGAAGGAUCCAAAACGCAGCAGUGGCCCAGCAGGUAAAAAAUAAAAUAGAGUUUCGAGAUUGACAUCAUUAUUGACUAUGAUGUUCGCAACAGUCACAAUAAAAUUAUUCGUUUUCGAGAUUCAAGAAUUAUCAUGACCUAUUUAUUUAGAUACAGAUAAGAUAAUUUCAUGCUAACAGGUCUUGGCGAGCAAGCAUCUUUCCUUUCCAAGAUGGAAUUCAUGUCAAAUGUUUUUUUGACAGUCCAGCUCGGCCAUCCUUCAGGUUCUCUUCUUUCAAUCUUGGCUGAUAAAUUAAUUUGCCUUGUGCCAAUCAACUUCUUCAACUGGGAUGGAAUAUUUGCACUGAAUCUAUAAAAAAUAUGGUGGCUAAAUCACUAUCCUAGUCUCUCUAUCAAACAUGAUGAGUGCAAAUUGCAGGAUCACUUGCAAAACUGGCUUUGACCCCUACCCAGAACCUAGCUAGGAUAAUAAAAAAGAAUAAACCCAUCACUUUUUAUGUAUUGUCAUGAAUAUGAUAAAACCAACCUAGAGAGUAGUUGUUUCUUACAAUGCUAUGUAAAAAGACUGGAAAUCACCAAGAUUUUGUACCUGGUCUGUAGCAAAAUAGAAUUUUUAUUUGUUUCUUCUUGCAAUCCUCGCAAGAAAAAAAGCACGCAAGGAAAGAAUCUACACAAGGAAAAUGGUCACUUUGGCUAUCUUUCGUAUCCAUUUGACCAAUCCAAAACAAUAGAAGAGUUGGAAAAGCCAAUUAAUCAGCAGCCAAGAGCCCAAAGUAAUACUAUCUUGAUAGUCAAACUGACCUAUCUUGCCAACAACAUCAGUAGAAGCUGCUGAAGAACAGACUUCUAUUAUCACAAAAUUUGUAAUUCUAUAACAGGGCCUGGGCGCAAUGCCAAUUCAUUUGAAAGGAUUUCAUAGCUUCUUUAGAUAAUGCAAGUAAUCAUGAAUGUGGUUCUACGCUAUUGAAAUUAGGAGCUAAGAAACCAAUAGCAUCAUAUGAAAAUUUAAUUGAUCAGGGAAACAUGGCAUGAAAAUUGAGUCAAAAGAUUUAACAAACACAACUCUUUUAAAGAGGUCUUCACCUGAGAAUGGGAGCUAUUGAGGCAGCAUCUUAUUUGCUGAAAUUGUGGGACUGUGAUCUUUAGAAGCUCAUCCAUAACAAUCAUCUCUAAUAUUUCUUCUAGCUCACUUGUAAACAUACAUCAAUAUAUACAGAUAUAAGUACUUUCACCUGUCUUUCAACCUCAGCAUCUGCCAUGACAUAAAAAAAAUGGAUAUCUGAACCCUACCAGAAUAAAUUUUCCUGCAAAAUCAUCAAUGACCAAAUGAAAUUCAAAAUCAAUAACCAAUCGUGAAAUGAAUUGUGCACAAAAAAGGCACAUAUAUUAACCUAUAGCAACUGGAAACAAUCCCAUACACUGCCAAGGUCUGGUUCAACCGGCUAAAACAUCUAACAACAGGGUAAAAGACACCACUCAAGAAAGUUUAAGUUCAGAUUCAGAAAGGAGAGGAAAGAAACUUGAAUCAGCUCUAAAAUUGAAAGAAACAAAUAAGGAACAGGUCUAAGAGGUGAUCAAAGCAGGGUGAAAGCGCACCUGAAUGGAAGCGAAACCUAACAAAUAGACAAAGCAAAAUAAAAAGAGAAUUUGGUCCUACAAAACACAGUAAAACGCAACAAACAAAAGCCAUCGAAUACACAAAUCAGUUGGAAAACAAAUACCAAGCAACAAGUUGAAGAACCCAGAGCACUUUGAAGAGACAACUGAAGUGAAAAAGAAAUGAUAAAGAACCCGGCCUCAACUCAGUAACGCAGAUAACGCGACAAGCAAUUUCAUGAGAAGACAGCCACUGAAGUAGUUUAAUCAUUGCAAAACAAACUAUAAACAGUUCAAAUUCACUUAUCUGGUUGGACCCCGGCUGUGAACGACCGAAAGCAGAUAGAAAGAGGGCUGGGUGAAAGCAAAGAUGGCGAAGAAUCUGUCAAAUCUUUGGUUUAGACAGUCCCAAACGAGCUUACCAGCAAAAAAAAUGCAAAACCCUAGAGAUCGUAGAGCCAACGAAGAGGAGAUGCAUAGACAGUGCAUUUAAGGUCAUAAAACCCAAAGACCAGGCCAGCUGGUUAACGAAGGGAGAAGAAAGAAGGGCAUGAUGGAAAACCACACAGCCACACCAAAACCCAGGCAACAGAGAAGAAGAAGCGAGUGGAAAGAACCUUGAAGAUCCUACUUAAGUAUAUUUUAUUUUAAAAUAUAUUAAAAUAAUUUUUUUUUAUUUUUUAAAAUUUAUUUUAAUAUUAACACAUUAAAAUAAUAUAAAAAAAGCAAAAAUAUUGAGAUGACACAAAAGUUGUUUUUUUCUGAAAAUAUAUAUUAAAAUACUAUCUUUAAAAUUUUAAAUUUUUAAUAUUAAUAUUAAUAUGUUAAAAUUAUGAAUAAUUAAAAAAAUAUUAAUUUAAUAUUUUUAAAUCAAGAAUAUUUUAAUAAAAAAACAUAGAAAGAUAAAAAGCAAAAACAACACAAAAGCCGAAGAACUAUUGAAGUCCGCUAGGAGAGUGUGUUCACAGCAUUUCACCCCCGCCUCCUAUUUUUUUUUAAUUAUUAAUGUUAAUUGUUAAUAAUUGUUAAUGCUACUGAACUUAUUACACGGGUUAUGCCUACCACGUCAGCCUAUAGACUAAAUCAAUCAAAAUCUGAUACGUCAAUUACAAUUUUUCCCUCCAACUAAAGCAUGUGAAACAUCGACCUUAAAAUUUCAUUAUACACAAUUCUUACAUACAAUUAUUAGGAGAUUUAAUUACUGAGAUGUUUAAUUGAAUUGUUUUGGGUUUUUUUUUUCUCUUCUCCAUACCGGUUUCUCAAUUUAAUUUUUAUUUUGCUUCAGAAAUUUUUAUAAAGAUGGAUCGAAACAAAGUUUUUGAAUUGGUGGUUGGUGAAGCUUUACGAGUCCCAAGCAAUCUUGAAGUUACUGACCAAAUUGGAGAUGGUUUUACUGUUGCAAGGCAUGAAAAUAAGGAAUUGAGAAUUUUGCUCGGUGAAGUCGUGAGCUACGAGAAAAAAAGGGUGUUUUUAUUUUUAUUUUUAUGUUAUCACAUUUUAAAAAAUUAAUUUAUAAAAUAACAUAGAAAAAAAAUAAUUAAAAAUUUAACACGGUUGAGAGAAUUUAAAAUGACAUCUAUGAUUUUUUUAAUAGGAGUAUUCAGGGACAGUUUAUUCUACCAUUAACUAUCCAUUUAAAAAAUAACAAUUCACAUAAUCACAAAUAAUCAGUUUUCUACCUUUAAAACACAAUUCAUAUAAACAUCAUAUAAUAUAUUAAAUCACAAAUAACAAAAGUUGUUAUAAGUAUUUUAGACUGAAAUAUAUCACUUCCAAGAUAAAAAAGAGAUAUUAGGUAUGAUUUUAGAGUUGCCGCAUCAAUAAGUAUUUUAAUCGGAACUCUUGGAGGUUAUAAUACAUCAAAACUAAAAAAUUCUUCAAUCUUUUUUUCUACUCUCCGCAAAAUAUUUAUCACUUCUAAACAAAUUAUUUGCACUAUAAUUAAAACAGGCAAGUUAUAAAUAAUUUUUAAAACAUCAUUAAAACAUCCCAACACAUUCGUGGUUAUAUUAUUAUAAUGAUGACCCUCGUAAUCAUAGGACAAUGCCUUUUUUUUUUUUUAACAUCUAGCUAUGCUCUAAUCGUAUUAUCUAUCUCCACUAACUCCUCAUGUAAAAAUGUCAAACUCCUAAUUUUUUAAAUAAACAAGAAAAACGUCUCACGGCAUAUAUAUAUAUAUAUAUUGGAACUUUUUAUAGUAUAACACCAGUGCAGGACAAACAUCCUCCUUUACUUCAUGCUUCAAUAUUUUUAUAAACAAGGUAGGAUUUUGACACUUGCUUUCCGACAAAUCGAGUGUUUUCUCGUGCCGUAGACGUAGUUUGCUGGAUCAAAACUUCAUUCACACCUAAUAAGUCAAAUGUAUUGAUAAAAAUUAAUUUUUAUAAAACCCAUGACCACAGGGUUAAAAGACAUGCGCUCCACCAACUGUGAUAGGCGGGCUAAUAAGUCAAAUGUAUUGAUAAAAAUUAAUUUUUAUAUUAAUUUAUUAAAAUAAUUUAAAAACAUUUAAAACUAAAAAAAAAAUUAAAAACACAUUUACAUUAUAAUAUUAAACAAGUUCCUUGAUCAUACAUGGUUGAAAUGUGGGCAAUUAAGCAAUGCCCGAGCCCGAGCCAGGUUCGAUGAAAUUCCUUAUAGAAGCUUACGGUAUUGAGAAUGGCUUCUUUUGUCUUUUAUGUAGCUCACGUGCAAUGAAGUAAAAUAAAUUUGGUUAAAAUAUUGUUUAUUUAUAAAUAUAUUAAAAUAAUAUUUUUUACAACUGCAAGCACAAUAAAGCAAAAGCUUUGGGUUUUUUUAGUGAUGCCCGAAUGCGGUUCGAUGAAAUUCCUCACAGAAAUAUAUAAUUACUGAGCGUUUGCAAAAACUGCAUUGCGGUUGCUGUGUGUCAACUGUCAAGGCAAUACUUUAUUAAUGGGCUUUGAUUUCCAUGGGAUAGAAAAGGAUAAAUUUUUGUAUCUUGUAUUUGUUCGAGUCGGAACCUUCCAAAUAAAAGGAAGACCAAUAAGUCAAGAAAAAAUUAUGUCAAGAGUUAAGUUUAGCCAAAUUUUCCCACGUCAUUAGUACUCUAAUGUAUUCUGAUAUUCGAGGCUUGAAUUUUCCUCACGCAUUGUAUUUUGGUUUCAUUUGCCGUGAAGCUAAUAUAUAACAUCUUCAAGAGUGAAGCUAUUUGAAUGAUCAUGUCUAAAAUGGAGAUUCCAGGCUUGAGUUCAAACAUACUGUAUUCACUUUUCUUGCUAAUAAUUCAAUUCUCUAUUGCUUCAUGUUUACUCGUAGGAAAUGAGACUGAUAGACUCUCCCUGUUAGCCUUUAAGACUCAAAUUAGUGAUCCCCUUGGAAAAUUGAGCUCAUGGAAUGAAUCAUUACACUUCUGUGAAUGGUCAGGAGUUAUCUGUGGAAGGAAGCAUCGGAGGGUCGUAGAGCUUGACCUGCACUCUUCCCAACUGGCAGGCAGCCUAUCUCCCCACAUCGGCAACUUGAGUUUUCUCAGGAUACUUAACCUGGAAAAAAACAGCUUCAGCUAUCUUAUUCCACAGGAGCUAGGGCGUUUGUUUCGGAUCCAGGAGUUAAGCCUUGGGAACAACACAUUCAGCGGUGAAAUCCCUGUCAACAUCUCGCGCUGCACAAAUCUCUUGAGUAUUGGAUUGGCGAGCAACAAUCUCACAGGAAAGCUUCCUGCGAAAUUUGGGUCACUGUCAAAGCUACAGGUACUUAAUUUCCAACAUAACCAUCUGUUUGGUGAGAUUCCACCUUCAUAUGGAAAUCUCUCUGAACUUCAGAUAAUUCGUGGAGUGCGGAAUAAUUUGCAAGGAGGUAUUCCCGACAGUAUUGGGCAACUAAAAAGACUAGCAGACUUUACAUUUGGUGUUAAUAGUUUGAGUGGUACGAUCCCUUCCUCCAUAUACAAUAUGUCAUCCCUUGUUCGUUUCAGUGCACCACUUAACCAACUUUAUGGGAUCCUUCCUCCUGAAUUAGGCCUAACUCUUCCAAACCUUGAUACCUUUAACAUUCUCAGCAACCAAUUUAGGGGACUAAUUCCAUCUACCCUAUCCAAUGCCUCGAAAAUUUCUGAUCUUCAACUUAGAAACAACAGCUUCACUGGAAAAGUGCCUUCUUUAGCAGGCCUGCAUAAUCUACAGAGACUGGUACUUAAUUUCAAUAACCUUGGAAACAAUGAGGAUGAUGACCUGGGCUUUCUCUAUCCCCUUGCCAAUACUACCAGUUUGGAAAUCUUGGCGAUAAAUCACAACAAUUUUGGAGGGGUGCUGCCUGAAAUAGUUUGCAACUUCUCCACGAAGCUCAGAAUAAUGAUAAUAGGAGAAAAUAACCUACGUGGAAGCAUUCCAACUGAGAUUGGAAAACUCAUCGGCCUGGAUACUUUGGGCUUGGAGUUGAAUCAAUUGACUGGCAUUAUACCAAGUUCUAUUGGCAAAUUACAGCGUUUGGGUGUUUUUAAUAUCAAUGGAAAUAAAAUAUCAGGAAACAUCCCAUCUUCUCUGGGCAAUAUCACUUCCUUGCUAGAAGUUUAUUUCUUUGCAAAUAACUUACAAGGUAGAAUCCCAUCAAGUCUUGGAAAUUGCCAAAAUUUGUUGAUGUUGCGUCUCGAUCAAAACAAUUUGAGUGGUUCUAUACCAAAAGAAGUACUUGGAAUUUCAUCAUUGUCCAUGUAUUUAGACUUAGCUGAAAAUCAGUUGAUAGGUCCCCUUCCCUCGGAAGUGGGUAAGCUGGUACAUCUUGGAGGUUUGAACGUUUACAAAAACAGGUUAUCUGGUGAAAUUCCCGGAAUUCUUAGCAGUUGUGUGAGUUUGGAGUAUUUGAAUUUGGGGGCCAACUUUUUCCAAGGGUCCAUUCCUGAGUCUUUGAGUUCCUUGAGGGCACUUCAAAUUCUCAAUCUCUCCCACAACAACUUGAGUGGAAAGAUUCCCAAGUUUUUGGCAGAAUUUAAGUUGCUGACAAGUUUGGAUCUUUCAUUUAAUAACCUUGAAGGUGAGGUGCCUGUCCAAGGAGUCUUUGCUAGGGCGAGUGGAUUUUCAAUGUUGGGAAACAAAAAACUUUGUGGAGGAAGGCCUCAGCUGAAUCUGUCCAGAUGCACAUCCAAGAAGUCAAGAAAGCUGAAAUCUUCUACCAAGAUGAAAUUGAUAAUUGCAAUUCCGUGUGGCUUUGUUGGAAUUAUCUUGCUCGUCUCUUACAUGCUUUUCUUUCUCUUGAAAGAGAAGAAAAGUAGGCCAGCUUCAGGCUCCCCAUGGGAGAGCACAUUUCAGCGAGUAGCCUACGAAGACCUGCUUCAAGCAACCAAGGGGUUCUCCCCUGCUAAUUUAAUUGGUGCGGGUAGUUUUGGAUCUGUGUAUAAGGGAAUCCUCAGAUCAGAUGGAGCAGCUGUUGCAGUGAAAGUAUUCAACCUGCUACGUGAAGGAGCAUCCAAGAGUUUCAUGGCGGAAUGUGCAGCCUUGAUAAACAUCAGGCACCGAAAUCUUGUAAAAGUUUUAACAGCGUGUUCUGGCAUUGAUUUUCAAGGUAAUGACUUUAAAGCUCUAGUUUACGAGUUCAUGGUGAACGGGAGUCUAGAAGAGUGGUUGCAUCCUGUUCAAAUAUCUGACGAGGCACACGUGAGAAGAGAUUUGAGUCUCCUUCAGCGGUUGAACAUCGCAAUUGACGUGGCUAGUGCACUCGAUUAUUUACACAACCAUUGCCAGAUUGCCGUUGCUCAUUGCGAUCUGAAGCCAAGCAAUGUCCUUCUUGAUGGUGACAUGACUGCUCAUGUUGGUGACUUUGGAUUAGCAAGGCUCCUCCCACAAGCUUCCCAUCAGCUCUGUUUGGAUCAGACAAGCUCCAUUGGUUUAAAAGGCACCAUUGGCUAUGCAGCCCCGGGUAAUAUUAGAAUAAUCCUUCCAUUAUUUACCUUUCAGUUUACAAUCUUGGUCUGACUUCAUUUGAUUUACAUUGAAAGGUUCAAUUUCUCUGCAUUAUAUAUGUAUAUCUAGAGCAUGGAUUUCCUUCUAAAGACCUACUGACCAUUUCUAUGUUACAUUAAGUUUGGAAUGUUCAACUAAAUAUUUGAUUUCUUACUGUGCAUUUCACUAGUAUUUGCAACCAUUUUAUCUGAAGUGCAGAGUAUGGCCUUGGAAGCGAGGUGUCGCCUUAUGGGGACGUGUACAGCUAUGGCAUCCUAUUAUUGGAGGUGUUUACCGGAAGGAGACCUACGAAUGGCUUGUUUAAAGACGGGCUGAACCUUCAUAACUUUGCUAAAACGGCUUUGCCAAUCUCUGUGGCCGAAGUGUUGGACCCAGUACUUGUAACAGAAGCUGAGGAAACGAGUGGCGAUGCCUCUCGUAGGAUGAGCCAUAUUGGAAAUCAUAUGGAGUGUCUUGCUGCUAUUGUCAAGGUUGGAGUGGCUUGUUCUGCAGAAUUCCCAAGAGAACGCAUGGAAAUUAGCAGUGUUGCAGUUGAACUGCGUCGAAUCAGGCACAUUCUUCUGGGACCUCAGACUCAUGGGGAGCGCUAAAUUAUUGCUGCACCAGAAGGUAAAUUUCCAUCACUUGAUUAGUACCUGGACAAAUAGAAAGGAUGGCAGUCAGGAGGCAACCCUGUACUGCACAUUCUCGUUUCUGAGAGCUUCGUGUUACACGCACAAAAUACAAGCAUAUAUGGGCAUGUCUAUCUCUUACAAGCUGGAUUUUCUGCUUACACAGCCUAAAUAAGUUGCAAGUAUCUAAGAGAACAUUUACAGAUGGUCCAUUAAUUUGUCAGUAUUAACUAUGCCAAGAAAUAAUUAAUGUAUUGCAGGUCUGUGAUCAGGAGAUCAGAGUGGCAAUGAAAUACUAGAGGAUCCAAAGGAGAAUAGAUGCCAACAUCUAAAUGGUAGAAGAAUUGGAAUAAGACUUCCCUCGUGUUGUCACAUGAACUUGUUUUAAGUUUCAAUAUGUCAAUGCCUGCUUUCAGUUUAGAGUGCCUUGCUGGUAUGGUAGUCUUUCCAGUUAUGUUCACUGCAUAUUUGUAGACGAAUAUAAGUAUUUCGAUGAAUUCAAGGAUGGAAUAUCUAGUGAUUGAUACCACUUUUUAGUUUGAAUCAUCUAGCAAUAGCAGCAGGAGAUGGAUUUAAAAAUUACAAGACGACGUCAUCAUCAAAUAAAUGGUUUUUCAACCUUAUACUAAAACAAUAUGAGCACAUAACUGAUGGCGGCCCGAAACUUGCAGUAUCAACAGCCCAGCCGAAAACAUGCCGAGGUAAGAAAAUAAGAAACACGAAACCCACUUCUGAAAAAACCUCAAAAUCACCCGUCUUUCUAUCAAUUUGACAAAUUGGUCCCAUGUAAAAACAGUUUGGUCGAAAUUUAGCUCGUGUUUAUAAAAAUAAACCAACUGGACUAAACUGCAUUAAAUUGGGAAAUUUAUACCAAUUAAAAUUUAUGAAUAUUUUUAAUAAAUUGAAAAUAUCCGUUUCUCAAGAAAAUAAAAAUUCGUGAAAUUUUUUAUUAAAAUUUAGCAUCAUUAUCACUCGCCCUGCAGGAUUUAGUUUUAAAUUUUUUAUUUUGACACGAACAAGAGGACCAGUCGGGGCCUAAAGAUGCAGCUACGCAUUAGCCAAUUGUUUGAAGCUGCGAUGUUGAGUGGAGAAUUUGAGCAUAUAAUAAGCUUUUAUUUAGUUUAAAUCCAACCGCAAUUGCCUAUUGCUAUGAUUGUGAGGUUGAAUGAGUUCUGAGUGGAAGCAUGCAUAAAAUAGUCUCCUCUAUUUUCAAUUUUUUUUUUUUUUAAGUGAUGAGAGGCUGAAUUGAUGGCUAAUAGUAUGUUUGAGGUAUUAUAGAUUUUGUUUUUUAAAGUGUUAUUUUGUUUGGAAAUGUAUUAAAAUAAUUUUUUUUAUUUUUAAAAAAUUUAUUUUUGAUACAACUUAAAUAUAUAAAAAAAAAUUAAUAAUUUAAAACUAAAAAAAUAAAUUAAAUACACGGCUGGACUGAGCGCUACAGGGCCUAAGAAGGAAUGCUCUGUUUAUUUACCUUUUAGAUUUAAAUUUUAGGGUUAACAUGUGGGGAAAUUUAUUACUUUUCUCAUAAUUCACUAGACUGAUAUGGAAAGAUUCAUCCUUGAAAUUGUUCAGAAAGGACUUAUUCUCGUCGGUUGAUGCGCAAGCUAAUCUGAUGAGAUCCCUUAUCAUCAAAUUGAAAAAAAAAUAAAAAAAUUUGAAGAAAUUCAAUCAUGAGAAAUUUUAAAAUUGCUUCAGAGUUCUAAAAAUCAGUUCCAUCGGCCUAAAAGGCACCGUUGGUUAUGCAGCCCCAGGUAAAAUCCGAAGAAUGCCCAUUUUUCAUUGUUAAUAUUUGUUUAUCAAAUUCCUUUCAAAUGGUAAAUUUGUUCAUUUUAUCGGUAAUUAUAUUUUCAGCAUCGGAGCUUUUGUUUUCACUCUAUCAGGAACAUCGGAGCUUUUGUUUUCACUCUAUCAGGAACAUCGGAGCUUUUGUCUUUGAAUCUCUCAGAAUUAUCGAAUCCACGACUUUCACUGCAUGGCUAGACAACACAGCUUUAACAUAGAUAUGAAGAUUCAGCCCGUCUUUAAACAUGUCCUUUUCCUCUAAACAUCUCCGACAAUAGCACGCUGUAGCCGUAGACAUCACCAUAAGUUGAAAUCUCACUUGCCAUACCGUAUUCUUCAUGUCAUAUGCCAACACAGUUUUUUUUACAGCAUUACGAGGGCGUUUGGCUUUUGAUUAAAUCAAGAUUUUCAUUAAAUUUUGUAAUAAGCUCCUGGUCUAAAUCGAAAGUUGUUUCAAACCAAAAAUAUUUAUGACUUUUCUAUAAAUAAAGAUCUAAAACAAAAACUGGAAUUAAUUUGUUAAGAUCAUACUAAACAGAAUCAAAUUAUUAAUGAUAUAACCAUUUGUCUCGAACUCAAUUCCAAGAACUCUCUCAAAUGACUUUAAGGUUAUGCUGUUUGUUGAAGCAUUAAGAGAUGGGCUUUGUUUGAUUUAACGGGCAUUAGAAGUUUAUUUGAGCAGGCUUUGUUAGCUUAUGGGCCCUCUAGAUUUGUUUCCUUUGUUCUCUGCAAGUCCAUUUCUGUCCACCCGCCCUUUUUUUGCUUGCCUUCUGUCUUAUAGCACGGCUUUUGAGCGUGGUUCUCAACCGUGAUUCUGCCGGUAAGCAUUCACCCUCCUCCCAUGUAAUUUACAAGAAUACAUCAACCCAACUUCCUCAGACUCAGCAGUAUUAAUUUAAUCCAAAUCUAAUAGCUAUUGGUUCAAAUAAUUUGAAUGCACGGUUUCUUUUUUGGGAUAGUUAUUUUAUUUAAUAUGUAAUUUAUAAGGUAUGGAUAUUAACAAAUUUAAUUUAUACUGAAACAAUAUGAGCACAUAACUGAUGGCGGCCCGAACCUUGCAGUAUGAACAGCCCAGCCGAAAACACGCCGAGGUAAGAAAAUAAGAAACACUAAACCCACUUCUGAAAAAACCUCAAAAUCACCCGUCUUUCUAUUAAUUUGACAAAUUGGUCCCACGUAAAAACAGUUUGGUCAAAAUUUAGCUCGUGUUUAUAAAAAUUAGUUAAUCAAACCAAUUGGACUACACUGCAUUAAAUUGGGAAAUUUAUACCAAUUAAAAUUUAUGAAUAUUUUUAAUAAAUUGAAAAUAUCCGUUUCUCAAGAAAAUAAAAAUUCGUGAAAUUUUUUAUUAAAAUUUAGCAUCAUUAUCACUCGCCCUGCAGGAUUUAGUUUUAAAUUUUUUAUUUUGACACGAACAAGAGGACCAGUCGGGUCCUAAAGAUGCAGCUACGCAUUCGCCAAUUAUUUCAAGCUGCAAUGAUGAGUGGAGAAUUUGAGCAUAUAAUAAGCUUUUAUUUAGUUUAAAUCCAACCGCAAUUGCCCAUUGCUAUGAUUGUGAGGUUGAAUGAGUUCUGAGUGGAAACAUGCAUAAAAUAGUCUCCUCUAUUUUCAUUUUGUUUUUUGUUUUUAUGUUCAGCUAAUUUCUAGGCAUGAACAUUAAUUAACAUUUGCAUCAUAUUUUCUAUGAGAGGCUGAAUUGAUGGAAAAGGGCAUGUUUGGGAGUAUUAUCUAGUAUUUUUUAUUUGAUAAAUAUUUAUUAAUAUAAUAUUUUUUAUUUUUUAAAAUUUAUUUUUAAUAUCAGCACAUCAAAAUAAUUUAAAAAUAUAAAAAAAUAAUUUAAAGUUAAAAAAAUAUUAAAUACACGGUUAAGCCAUAGUGCUAAUCAGGGCAUAAAAAGAAAUGCUCUGUUUUUUUACCUUUUAGAUAUAAAUUUUAGUGUUAGUAUGUGGAGAAAUUGACUACUUUUCUCUUAAUCCACCAUAUUGAUAUGGAAAUAAUCAUCCUUAUAAUUAUUCAGAAAGGACUUAUUCUCGUCGGUUGAUGCGCAAGCUAAUAUGAUGAGACCCCUUAAUUAUCAUCAAAUUAAAAAAAAUUAACUAAAUUUGAAGAAAUUCAAUCAUAAGAAAUUUUAAAAUUAUUUAAGAGUUUUAAAAAUCAGUUCCAUUCGGCCUAAAAGGCACCGUUGGUUAUGUAACAUCCGAAGAAUGCCCAUUUUUCAUUGCUAAUAUUUGUUUAUCAAAUUCCUUUCAAAUGGUCAAUUUGUUCAUUUCAUUGGUAAUUUUUUUCUCCACCACUUUGAUAGCAAAUAAUAAUUAAAAAAUCUGUUGGCAAGAAAGGGUGAUGAAAUGACUGAGUGUAUUGCCAACCAUUGCAUUACAACGAGUUCUCUCUUACGCCAGGCGCCAGUCCUUGUGCAAACACAAACAUGCGAGCAGGAAAGCGUUUCCAAGAUUCAAGUAGUUCUCUUCUCUCUUCUGCUACACAUGUGAAGAUAUUGGCACCAGUAGUGCUCCCUUUUGAACACCAACUUCCAUUUGUUACCUUGGUGAACUCACACCCAUGUAGUGCAUAAUACCGAACCUAGUAUAUUUAUGUUCAGCCAUGUACUGAUCUCAAUAUACUAUACUGUGGAUCUGGCAAGUUGUUAAACUUUUUAUUCUGGAAUUUAAUUAUGAGCUAAGCCUAAGCUAUCGUGAGUCUAAUGAACUACAAUACUUAUUUCCUCUAGGUUUAGCUAUGCGACAUACUUAGUUAGUCUUAGAGAUUCAUGUUAUGACUACAAGGGUUCUAUCUUAAGAUGAUUGACAUGAUCUUUUCAUGUCAUAAAUAAUUAUUUUCUUAUACCUGUAUUUUGUAUAAAAAUUCUUCCAAUAGCUUAUCAUAUUUCUAUCUUAUUAAUGUUCAUAAAUGAUUUGUAGUGGAUAUUUAUUAUUUAUUAAUGACAUGCAAGAGAUAUUUGUCUCUUGUUAAUGUCAUUAAAUGAAAAUAACUCUUUUGUCUCUCCACUCCACCAAAACGACAAGGUUCAAAGAGUAUAAAUACCUCUUGAACUAUCCAAGUAAAAGAUUUAUUUUUUUCUACUCUCCAGGCUUAUAUAUCUUAAUUCUUAGAGCAUUAAUAACACAAGAACAAGAUUAAACACCUUUAUUUUGAGUAUAUUGAAUUCUAGUACAUCAUUACUAUCAAUACAUGCAUAAGCUUUUCCAUUAAAGGCUUACUCAUUGGCGGUUGAAAAGGAGAAAUUGAACGAUUUAUGUUUUGUUUUGCCUGGUCCCAAACAAGUAAGAUUAUUGGAGGGUGAAAAGGAGGCUAUUCCUUCAUUUUCUUUGAAACCUAACAUUUUCUCAAACCAAUUAAAUUGCACGGGACUUGGCAUCAUAUAGUGAUGCAGGUCAGUAGGUGGCUCAGAAAAGCCUUUAUAGUUCUGAACAAUUAGUCUGUGGAUGUGGGUUUGUUAUCUAUAGAUCAUAAAAAAAAAUCCUAGCAGACUUGUUUAUGGAUCGAUAUAACAGAGUUAAGUAAAAAAAAUAUAUGUUCACUUCAGACCAACAAAUUAACAUAAAAAUGACAUAAUUUUCUAUUCAACCGAUAGAUUAGACUUAGUUUUUAUUAAAUGAUUCUAUAAUCUCAGUUUUAUAGGAGGCCCGUCUAACUGUAACUAGCCAUGGAAGACCCUUAAAUUUCUCCCUUUCAAGAACUCACUCGUGGCUCUCUCUGUCACCUUUUUCUUCAAUUCAAAAUAUCUCUCUCGAAACCGAACCUUUCUGCAUAGCAUUGCUUAAUCAAAACAAAAAAAUAUCUUUGGCUUUCAACUUGGUACCCCCCUACCGUCGCCUUUCAUUGUUGUGUGGUCAAAAUGUGGGUAUUUGAGUAAUGCUCGAAUCCUUUUCGAUGAAAUUCCUCACAGAAUAUUUCAACAGGGCGUGUCCAAAUCACACUGCGGUGGUUGUCUCUUAAGGUCAAUGAUUUCUACAAUCAAAAGAUUUUUGAUGCAGAGAUUUUUCCUACGCAAUGAACCCCACAAUUGAAAAGAAGAUUAGAAAAGGAGGAUGUGAGUUAUAGCAGUAAUAAUUCAACAUUUGCAUUUUGACUUUGAUUAUAAGCUUAAUUGUUAAGGUAAAUAUCUUGUGUGCAAUUAUUUUAGAAUACAACUAGAUAGGUGACACGCGCUGUAUCGUAGGCCUACCUAAUUUUUUUAACAUAAAAAAAGAUGUUAAGGGAAUAGAAACAUUCCUAGAAACACAAAAAAAAUAUAAGAUCUAAGUCAUUAACUCGACUGGAUUUAAGAGCUUGGCUAAUUUAAUAAUACGAAUAAAAAAAUUAUAACGACAUUAAAUAAACUAAAAAAAAAGGCUAAGAAAACUUGAUGAGCCUAUACGGAUUAACAUGUAAAAUAUGUAACCUUUUGUGAUAUCAAGACAACCCAGUUGAAAGCAAAUUGAAUAAAACUAUGAAUCUUCAUUAUCAAAUAACUCAAUAUUGAAGAGCGAGAUAAUCCCUAUCAUUUUUAAAAUUAAUAAAAAAUCAUAUAGAAAGAAAAUUAAAAAAAUAACGAAACUCAAUUAAUCUCCAAAUAAAUAAAUGUUAAAUAAUGAAACUAAAAAAACAUGCGCUUAAAAAAAGAAAAAGAAAACUAAGCAAACCCGGACGAUUUUCUAAAUUUAGAUUAAUCUCUCAAACUCGCAACCUAUGAAAUCUUAGACCUGUGAUUAAUCAAGAAUUUAAAUUCUCAACCAAUUUAAUAUUAAAUGAUGAAAUCAGGAAAAAUAUUAAUUUAAUAAAAUUUCCAAAGUAAAAAAAAAUACAAUAAAAGAACGAGGAUCAAAUCUAAUAGGAAAAAAAAUCUAAAGGAAGAUGAAAUCAUAAAAAAAAAUCAAUUUUAAAUAUCAUCUCAGAGCAAUGAAGACCAAAUCUAAUAGAUGAAAAAACUAGAUGAUGAAACUGAAAGAAAAUUUUAAUUUUAUAAGUUAUUUCAAAUAAAAUAAAUAGUAAUAAAAUAAACAUGAAUCAAAUACGAAGGAAAAACAAAUUGGAGGGCUACUUUGAAAAUUUAAAGGGUCAGACACGAAAAUCAAAGAGGAGAAAAAAAAAAUAUAAAAAGGUUGUCGGCACAAAACCGAAGAUUCGUUGACUACACGCAUCGCCUAAGAAUGAAGGGACCACCAAAACGAUUCAAAUGCCGCCCUAGAAGCAAUUGUUUGAGCAUGAACCACCCCUAACACACUUCCUAUAUAGUGCAGCCUCAACCUACUUGUUGACGCGUGCAUUGCAUGUGUUAGUCACCUUUCUUCAAAUAAUAUAUAUAUUUAUUCUAUUACUAAAAUGUUCCUCAAUCAACUUGAUUAUUAUCAAAAAAACAUGUUUAAAAGACAAAAAAACUCUUAGAUCCCAGUUCAAAAAACUUUGCUUUUAAGAGUGAUUAUAUCAUUUUAUUGUGCUGAUAAAAUGUGAAAAGACCCCUAUGCCCUUGUUCAAUUUGAAAAUGACUAAUGUAAUGAGUCAUGAGGUAAAGACCAUAUUUAUAUUCAUGUCUAGAAUGUAGCUACCACGCAUGACUUUUCGCAUAAUGUGUUCAGUUUUCUUGCGAAUGAUUCAAUCCUUCUGAAAAGUGCAUUUGCAUCGACUUUUUGUUCUAUAAUGAUAAGAUCUAAGGACUUUGUGGGCUCAAAAUUCUCCAUCAAACGUUUGCUCAUGCUUGCGGAUUUAACCCGUUGCCUGAAGUCAAUCUUAGCAUUACAUCCAUCCUUUUCCUCUGUAUUUGUAUCAAUAGCUCAGCACUGCCAACCAAAUGUUUCUCAAUACUAAAGCUCUAAGUUUGCAUUAAAAAAUGGAGCUGCCAGGAAUGAGUUCAUGCAUAUUGUGGCUGCUUUUUUUGCAAAUAAUACAACUCCCCAUUCCUUUCUCAUUACCUACGGGAGGAAACGAGACAGAUAGACUGUCCCUGCUUGCUCUUAAGAGUCAAAUUACAAACGAUCCCUUUGGUAUGCUGAGCUCCUGGAAUGAAUCCUUGCACUUCUGCGAUUGGUCAGGAGUUAUAUGUGGAAAGAGGCAUCGGAGAGUCGUAGAGAUUGACCUACACUCUGCCCAACUGGUGGGCAGCCUAUCUCCACACAUUGGCAACUUGAGUUUUCUCAGGAUACUGAAACUGGAAAACAACAGGUUCAGCCAUAACAUCCCACAGGAACUGGGUCAUUUGUUUCGCCUACGGAUGCUGAGCCUUGAGAACAAUACAUUCGAUGGCAAAAUCCCAGUCAACAUUUCGCAUUGCUCAAACCUCUUGAUCCUCUCUUUGUCGGGCAAUAAUCUUACUGGCAAACUUCCUAUAGAACUUGGAUCGUUAUCAAAGCUGCAGGUUUUUUUUUUUCAAUUUAACUAUCUGGUUGGCGGGAUACCAUCUUCUUUUGGAAAUUUAUCAGCUAUUAUACAAAUUUUUGGGGCGGGGAAUUAUUUGCAAGGAGGAAUCCCCAAUAGCAUUGGCCAAUUGAAAAGUUUAAAAUCGUUCUCUUUUGGUCGAAAUAAUAUGACUGGUAUGAUCCCUCCCUCUAUAUACAAUCUUUCUUCUCUCAUGCGAUUUGCGGUGCCAGUGAACCAACUUCAUGGGAAUCUUCCUCCUGACUUAGGCCUAACUCUUCCAAACCUUGAAAUUCUUCUAAUGUCUUUCAACCGUUUCAGUGGGUCAAUUCCACCAACGUUCUCCAAUGCCUCGACUAUUGCUGUUAUUGAACUCUCAAACAACAAUCUCACUGGGAGAGUUCCCGAUUUAUCAAGCCUGAGUAAGCUGCGAUGGCUGAUAGUUGAUGUAAAUUAUCUUGGAAAUGGUAAUGAUGAUGACCUAAGUUUUCUCCCUCCCCUGGCAAACAAGACCAGUUUGGAAGAAUUGUCUAUAAAUGAUAACAAUUUCGGAGGGUUGCUGCCUAAAAUAAUUAGCAACUUCUCAGAAAACCUGAAGAGAAUGACAUUCGGAAGAAACCAAAUACGUGGAAGUAUUCCAAGUGGUAUAGGAAAUCUCAUUGGCCUGGAUACUUUGGGUUUGGAGAUGAAUCAGUUGACUGGUGUUAUUCCAAAUUCUAUUGGUAAAUUACAAAACUUGGGUGUACUGGCUCUUGGUGGAAACAAAAUCUCAGGGAACAUUCCAUCUUCUAUGGGCAAUAUCACUUCCUUGCUCGAAGUUUAUUUAUCUGCAAAUAACUUACAAGGUAGAAUCCCAUCAAGUCUUGGAAAUUGCCAAAAUUUGUUGAUAUUGCAUCUUGAUCAAAACAAUUUGAGUGGCUCCAUACCAAAAGAAGUAAUUAGUAUUCCAUCCUCAUCAAGAAUUUUAGUUCUAUCUGAAAACCAGUUGACAGGUUCCCUUCCCCUGGAAGUGGGUAAGUUGGCGAAUCUUGGAUAUUUCAAUCUUUCUCAUAACAGGUUAUCUGGUGAGAUCCCCAGAACACUUGGAAGCUGUGUGAGUUUGGAGUUUUUGUAUAUGGAGGGGAAUCUUUUCCAAGGGCCGAUUCCUGAGUCUUUGAGUUCCUUGAGGGCCCUUCAAAUUCUCAAUCUCUCCCACAACAACUUGAGUGGAGAGAUUCCCAAGUUUUUGGCAGAAUUGAAGUUGCUGACAAGUUUGGAUCUUUCAUUUAAUAACCUUGAAGGUGAGGUACCUGUCCAAGGAAUCUUUGCUAGGGCCAGUGGAUUUUCAAUGUUGGGAAACAAAAAACUUUGUGGAGGAAUGCCUCAGCUGAAUCUGUCCAGAUGCACAUCCAAGAAGUCAAGAAAGCUGAAAUCUUCUACCAAGCUGAAAUUGAUAAUUGCAAUUCCUUGUGGCUUUGUUGGAAUUAUCUUGGUCGUCUCUUACAUGCUUUUCUUUUUCUUGAAAGAGAAGAAAAGUAGGCCAGCUUCAGGCUCCCCAUGGGAGAGCACAUUUCAGCGAGUAGCCUACGAAGACCUGCUUCAAGCAACCAAUGGGUUCUCCCCUGCUAAUUUAAUUGGUGCGGGUAGUUUUGGAUCCGUGUAUAAGGGAAUCCUCAGAUCAGAUGGAGCAGCUGUUGCAGUGAAAGUAUUCAACCUGCUACGUGAAGGAGCAUCCAAGAGUUU
This 20079-nucleotide long non-coding RNA is filed under the name Populus trichocarpa (black cottonwood). RNAcentral describes it as "long non-coding RNA (PTRI_LNC002079)". Lineage: Eukaryota; Viridiplantae; Streptophyta; Magnoliopsida; Malpighiales; Salicaceae. The record is from RNAcentral.